UUUCGUAGCUAGCCAUGUCCCUUUGCGGUCAAUGUGCAUUUGGCUACAGGCCCUUUUUUCUGCUAGGAGAUGCGGCUCUUCUGCUGUCAGCGGGGCUGCAGUUUCCUAGCACUUUUACUUUGAAAAAAUUAGAGUGUCAAAGCAGGCUUUUUCUUUGCCUGAAUAUCUUAGCAUGGAAUAAUAGAAUAGGACUUUGGUUCUAUUUUGUUGGUUUCUAGGACUAGAGUAAUGAUUAAUAGGGAUAGUUGGGGGCAUUAGUAUUUAAUUGUCAGAGGUGAAAUUCUUGGAUUUAGGAAAGACUAACUUCUGCGAAAGCAUUUGCCAAGGAUGUUUUCAUUAAUCAAGAACGAAAGUUAAGGGAUCGAAGAUGAUUAGAUACCAUCGUAGUCUUAACCAUAAACGAUGCCGACCAGGGAUCGGGCGCUUGUAGUUUUUCCAAAAAGACACGCCCGGCACCUUUUGAGAAAUCAAAGUUUUUGGGU
RNAcentral lists this non-coding RNA (482 nucleotides) under Allomyces macrogynus ATCC 38327. RNAcentral describes it as "Eukaryotic small subunit ribosomal RNA". It matches the Rfam family "Eukaryotic small subunit ribosomal RNA", at positions 639 to 1112 of the family's 1831-position model. Lineage: Eukaryota; Fungi; Blastocladiomycota; Blastocladiomycetes; Blastocladiales; Blastocladiaceae. The record is from Rfam by way of RNAcentral.